GUCCGGUGAUGGUGGGUUCGAUGAUGGUAGGUUUGUUUGUCAUUGCUACCAGCUAUAAUGAAGAGGAGAUCAGAGCAUCCGAUUUUGUGGUGCAGCAAUAUGAAAUUUUUGUCAGUUUGCUGAUCAGUACCACGGUUCGGUGCUGGUUAGAUCUGCUUGCGGUGGUUUUCAUGUCAUCGUCAUAGCCGUGAUGAGGUGUUGCGAUGGUGAGACGUCGGUGAUGGUGGUGAAUCUGCUUGGUGGUGAUGAGGUGUUGCGGUGGUUUUGAUGUUGGGGGGUUUUAGGUAGCUUUUGUUGGUUGUGCAGGUAAAGGUACGAGCAACGAAUGGUGAAUCUAACGGUGGUUUUUGUGUGGUGGUAUAAGUAGAGGUGUUGACGGUG
RNAcentral lists this long non-coding RNA (381 nucleotides) under Olea europaea subsp. europaea. The record is from RNAcentral. Lineage: Eukaryota; Viridiplantae; Streptophyta; Magnoliopsida; Lamiales; Oleaceae.